RNAcentral lists this ribosomal RNA (173 nucleotides) under uncultured bacterium. RNAcentral describes it as "partial 16S ribosomal RNA". It matches the Rfam family "Bacterial small subunit ribosomal RNA", at positions 336 to 526 of the family's 1533-position model. The record is from RNAcentral.
CUCCUACGGGAGGCAGCAGUGGGGAAUAUUGGACAAUGGGCGCAAGCCUGAUCCAGCCAUGCCGCGUGAGUGACGAAGGCCUUAGGGUUGUAAAACUCUUUCGCCGGGGACGAUAAUGACGGUACCCGGAGAAGAAGCUCCGGCUAACUUCGUGCCAGCAGCCGCGGUAAUUC